AUUUAUAUAGUAUAUUUAAUAUAUUUGACUUCCAAUCAAAAGAACUAAUUUUUAGUAUAAAUA
RNAcentral lists this transfer RNA (63 nucleotides) under Staphylinidae sp. BMNH 1274643. Its description in RNAcentral is "tRNA-Gly". Lineage: Eukaryota; Metazoa; Arthropoda; Insecta; Coleoptera; Staphylinidae. The record is from RNAcentral.